Molecule: long non-coding RNA, 322 nt
Filed under: Actinidia chinensis (golden kiwifruit)
Lineage: Eukaryota; Viridiplantae; Streptophyta; Magnoliopsida; Ericales; Actinidiaceae
Description: long non-coding RNA (ACHI_LNC002903)
Source: RNAcentral
ACAUAUAACACCAAAACGGUGGGACAUGAAUAUGUAUUUCUAUAACAAAAGUCAAGUGAAAGAAAAGCAAGAGCAAGUUGUUGAAGCACUUCAUCAUGACUCAGAGGCCAUUCAAUCUUACUCUCUCUUUUUUUUCCAAUCAAGUUUGAGUCAUGGUUUCACUAAAAGUUUUGAUCCUAUAGGUGCCUUCCCAUCAUGAAUCUCUCUGUUUGUUAUCAAAUCUUCUCACAUAAUUUCCAACUUAUCCUCUUAUAACCAUUUUCGAUGAAUGAAACUCACUUCAGUCCUUACUCCUUUUAGAAUUUUAUCAAAUUUGAGUGAA